Molecule: non-coding RNA, 76 nt
Filed under: unclassified sequences
Source: RNAcentral
GGGUAAUUGCCGCCGGGUAACGCGUUACCCCAUUCCGUUAGGCCUUAGAAGGAAUGGGAGUGAGGCGUUUUUUUGU